CGAAGAAGAAUCAAAACUCAAACUCAUACGGGGGUUAGCAGAAAUAUUCCUCGUUUUUCCUGAUUUCUUUCUUCACUCGUUUCUUUUGCAGACUCUUUUUCUUUUUCAUUCGAUGUUUUUUCAAACUCUCUUUCUUUUUCUUUUUCAUUUUCUUUUCUUUCAAUUUCUUUUUCUUUUUCAUUUUCUCGUUCGCACUCUUUUUCUUUUUCCUUUCUUUCAAUUUCUUUUUCAUUUUCACUUUCUCGCUUGCACUAUUUUUCUUUUUCUUUUGCCUCACUUGUUUUUACAAAAGAAUUUUUCAAUUGUAUUCAAGUGUGGCGAAUUGGUCUUGGUCUUAGUUGAAGGGAAUUUUUUUUGCUGAUCAGACAC
RNAcentral lists this long non-coding RNA (369 nucleotides) under Gossypium raimondii (Peruvian cotton). RNAcentral describes it as "long non-coding RNA (GRAI_LNC001396)". The record is from RNAcentral. Lineage: Eukaryota; Viridiplantae; Streptophyta; Magnoliopsida; Malvales; Malvaceae.